RNAcentral lists this ribosomal RNA (495 nucleotides) under uncultured Caldilineae bacterium. RNAcentral describes it as "bacterial SSU rRNA". It matches the Rfam family "Bacterial small subunit ribosomal RNA", at positions 9 to 524 of the family's 1533-position model. The record is from RNAcentral. Lineage: Bacteria; Bacillati; Chloroflexota; Caldilineae.
GAGUUUGAUCUUGGCUCAGGAUGAACGCUGGCGGCGUGCCUAAUACAUGCAAGUCGAACGAGAACCUGGAUUCGUCUAGGGGAAAGUGGCGGACGGGUGAGUAACACGUAGAUGACCUGCCUCGAAGAAGGGGACAACCCGCCGAAAGGCGAGCUAAUACCCUAUGAGCUCACGCCCUUUAGAAAAGUGUGAGAAAAGCUCCGACGCUUCGAGAGGGGUCUGCGGGCCAUCAGGUAGUUGGCGGGGUAACAGCCCACCAAGCCAGUGACGGCUAGGGGACCUGAGAGGGUGAUCCCCCACACGGGAACUGAGAAACGGUCCCGACUCCUACGGGAGGCAGCAGUAAGGGAUAUUGCACAAUGGGCGCAAGCCUGAUGCAGCAACGCCGCGUGCAUGAUGAAGGCCUUGGGUCGUAAAAUGCUUUUCUGGCUGAAGAGGCAGGACAGUAAGCCAGGAAUAAGUGUCGGCUAACUACGUGCCAGCCGCCGCCGUAAC